UGGGGAAUCAUGGUCAAUGGGCGAAAGCCUGAACCUGCGACGCCGCGUGAGUGAUGAAGGUCGUAAGAUCGUAAAACUCUUUUCAGGGAUCUUAAAGCCUGUCUGUCAACAACAGGCAGGUCUGACUCUCCCUGGAAGAAGCCCCAGCCAACUACGUGCCAGCAGCUGCGGUAAUACGUAGGGGGCGAGCGUUAUUCGGAAUUACUGGGUGUAAAGGGUAUGUAGGCGGCCCUUCAAGUCGCGUGUCAAAGUCCAGUGCUCAACGCUGGGUGUGCGCGCGAUACUGACGGGCUUGAGUGCUGGAGAGGUGAGCGGAAUUCCCGGUGUAGUGGUAAAAUACGUAGAGAUCGGGAGGAACAACAGCGGCGCAGGCGGCUAACUAGACAGUUUCUGCCGCUAAGAUACGAAAGCGUGGGGAGCAAACA
This 425-nucleotide ribosomal RNA is filed under the name uncultured prokaryote. RNAcentral's name for it is "bacterial SSU rRNA". It matches the Rfam family "Bacterial small subunit ribosomal RNA", at positions 355 to 774 of the family's 1533-position model. The record is from RNAcentral.